AUUGCACCUACCGAUUGAAUGGUCUGGUGAAGCCUCGGGAUUGCGAUGAGUUUCCUUCAUUGGGAGUUCGUCGUGAGAGCCUGUCUAAACCUUAUCAUUUAGAGGAAGGUG
This 111-nucleotide ribosomal RNA is filed under the name uncultured eukaryote. RNAcentral describes it as "partial small subunit ribosomal RNA". It matches the Rfam family "Eukaryotic small subunit ribosomal RNA", at positions 1676 to 1785 of the family's 1831-position model. The record is from RNAcentral.